UUGGAAAGGGUAAUGAAAAAUGUUUCAGGUAUAAGGGUAGACAUAUCUGGUGAUAAGAAAUAAAAGGUUCAACAUACACGGCUCAAAUUGGCAAACUAAUGAUAUCAUUUUUCUUUGGGAAACAUGGUUAUUUGGGCCAUAGUGGUAAACCUAAUGCCUCUAUCAUUUCCAAGUUCAUGCAAUCAAUGACAAACAUUUCGAAAGAUCGUUACGCAAGUUCUAGAGAUGUAUCUCACAUAAGUUCAUCACACAUGAAAGAAUAGGAGUGUAUGAAAAAUGCACACACUUUCAAUCGGCUCAAAAACUCACAUAGGAUGUAUAUGGUCACUAAAUUCACAUAUGAAGCUUUAAGUCAUACUUUAGUUUCACAUUAACAAGGCUAUGUGCAUUUGGUUUUUCAAAGAUGGUCAAACAUGUACAAAACUAACAAGAGAAUUAGGAAUUUCACAAAAUACAUGUUAACUAAGUUCUUGAUGAUCAUGGUUCAAAUUUGAUCCAAUUAUAUCAUUGGGUAGGGAAACUAACAAAAAAUCUAAUUCAAAACAAUAAGGGAAACAAGACAAUAUUUUUGGAUUUUUUAAAUUUUCCGAUUUUUUUUUUUUUUUUUUUUUUAAAGAAAACAAAACUAAUUAAGAACACAAAAAACAACAACACAGUUUUUUUUUAUAGUUUUGUUUUGUUUUUUUUUUUUAUUUUUAUUUUUUUAAAAGAAAACAAAACUAAUUAAGAACACAAAAAAAACAAAACUAAUUAAGAACACAAAAAACAACAACACAGAGACAAAUGAAAUUCUAGAGAUUUCUACCCCCACACUUAAACUUGACAUUGUCCCCAAUGUCAGAAAACA
RNAcentral lists this long non-coding RNA (847 nucleotides) under Malus domestica (apple). RNAcentral describes it as "long non-coding RNA (MDOM_LNC004083)". The record is from RNAcentral. Lineage: Eukaryota; Viridiplantae; Streptophyta; Magnoliopsida; Rosales; Rosaceae.